AUUGAACGCUGGCGGCAGGCUUAACACAUGCAAGUCGAACGAUGAUUAUCUAGCUUGCUAGAUAUGAUUAGUGGCGGACGGGUGAGUAACAUUUAGGAAUCUGCCUAGUAGUGGGGGAUAGCUCGGGGAAACUCGAAUUAAUACCGCAUACGACCUACGGGUGAAAGGGGGCGCAAGCUCUUGCUAUUAGAUGAGCCUAAAUCAGAUUAGCUAGUUGGUGGGGUAAAGGCCCACCAAGGCGACGAUCUGUAACUGGUCUGAGAGGAUGAUCAGUCACACCGGAACUGAGACACGGUCCGGACUCCUACGGGAGGCAGCAGUGGGGAAUAUUGGACAAUGGGGGCAACCCUGAUCCAGCCAUGCCGCGUGUGUGAAGAAGGCCUUUUGGUUGUAAAGCACUUUAAGCAGGGAGGAGAGGCUAAUGGUUAAUACCCAUUAGAUUAGACGUUACCUGCAGAAUAAGCACCGGCUAACUCUGUGCCAGCAGCCGCGGUAAUACAGAGGGUGCGAGCGUUAAUCGGAAUUACUGGGCGUAAAGCGAGUGUAGGUGGCUCAUUAAGUCACAUGUGAAAUCCCCGGGCUUAACCUGGGAACUGCAUGUGAUACUGGUGGUGCUAGAAUAUGUGAGAGGGAAGUAGAAUUCCAGGUGUAGCGGUGAAAUGCGUAGAGAUCUGGAGGAAUACCGAUGGCGAGGGCAGCUUCCUGGCAUAAUAUUGACACUGAGAUUCGAAAGCGUGGGUAGCAAACAGGAUUAGAUACCCUGGUAGUCCACGCCGUAAACGAUGUCUACUAGCCGUUGGGGUCCUUGAGACUUUAGUGGCGCAGUUAACGCGAUAAGUAGACCGCCUGGGGAGUACGGCCGCAAGGUUAAAACUCAAAUGAAUUGACGGGGGCCCGCACAAGCGGUGGAGCAUGUGGUUUAAUUCGAUGCAACGCGAAGAACCUUACCUGGUCUUGACAUAGUGAGAAUCCUGCAGAGAUGCGGGAGUGCCUUCGGGAAUUCACAUACAGGUGCUGCAUGGCUGUCGUCAGCUCGUGUCGUGAGAUGUUGGGUUAAGUCCCGCAACGAGCGCAACCCUUUUCCUUAUUUGCCAGCGGGUUAAGCCGGGAACUUUAAGGAUACUGCCAGUGACAAACUGGAGGAAGGCGGGGACGACGUCAAGUCAUCAUGGCCCUUACGACCAGGGCUACACACGUGCUACAAUGGUAGGUACAGAGGGUUGCAACACAGCGAUGUGAUGCUAAUCUCAAAAAGCCUAUCGUAGUCCGGAUUGGAGUCUGCAACUCGACUCCAUGAAGUCGGAAUCGCUAGUAAUCGCAGAUCAGAAUGCUGCGGUGAAUACGUUCCCGGGCCU
RNAcentral lists this ribosomal RNA (1355 nucleotides) under uncultured bacterium. RNAcentral describes it as "bacterial SSU rRNA". It matches the Rfam family "Bacterial small subunit ribosomal RNA", at positions 28 to 1381 of the family's 1533-position model. The record is from RNAcentral.